This 1116-nucleotide ribosomal RNA is filed under the name Triticum aestivum (bread wheat). RNAcentral describes it as "partial small subunit ribosomal RNA". The record is from RNAcentral. Lineage: Eukaryota; Viridiplantae; Streptophyta; Magnoliopsida; Poales; Poaceae.
AUGUACUGUCCAUGUGUUCACUAUGGGAAUACGAAGAAUUACUCAUCCUCGAAAACCCUUCACGUCCACCUGCUUGAGAAGGGAUUCAUGCCCCACUAUUAUGUUUGGACCAAGCACGGACAAAGAGGGGUUGUGAUGGAAGACAAUGAAGAAGAAGGGGACGAUGACAACUAUCCGCAUGCUAUGUUCCCUGAAUACGGUGAUACUACAAUGGGGGAAGCUGAAGAUCAAGAGGCACCAGAUGUGCCCGAUGAUGAUCUUCGCCGGGUCAUUGUUGAUGCACAGAGAGGAUGCGAAAAUGAAAGGGAGAAGUUGAAGUUCGAUCACAUGUUAGAGGAUCACAAAAAACGGUUGUACCCAAGUUGCAAAGAUGGCAACACAAAGCUCGGUACCACAAUGGAAUUGCUGCAAUUGAAGGCAAAGAAUGGUGUAUCUGACAAGGGAUUUGGUUCGCUACUGAUAAUAGUGAAGAAGAAGCUUCCAAAGGAUAACGAAUUGCCUGACAGUAUGUAUGAGGCAAAGAAGGUUUUCUGCCCUCUAGGUUUAGAGGUGCAGAAGAUACAUGCAUGCCCUAAUGUCUGUAUCCUCUACCGCGGUGAGGAGUACGGCAAUUUGAACGCAUGCCCGGUAUGUGGUGCAUUGCGGUAUAAGAUCAGACGAGAUGACCCUGGUGAUGUUGAGGGCGAGCGCCCCAGGAAGACGGUUCCUGCCAUGGUGAUGUGGUAUGCUCCGAUAAUACCAUGGUUGAAACGUUUGUUCAGAAACAAUGAGCAUGACAAGUUAUUGCGAUGGCACAAGGAAGACCGUAAGAAAGAUUGGAUGUUGAGAGUACCCGCUGACGGGUCGCAGUGGAGAAAAAUUGAGAGACAGUGGCGGGACUCUGCAGGUGACGCAAGGAAUGUAUGGUUUGGUUUAAGUGCAUAUGGCAUUAAUCCUUUUGGGGAGCAGAGAAACAAUCAUAGCACUUGGCAUGCGACUCUACGUAUCUAUAACCUUCCUCCUUGGUUGUGCAUGAAGCAGAAGUUGAUUAUGAUGCCAGUCCUCAUCCAAGGCCGGAAGCAACCCGGCAUUGACAUUGAUGUGUACCUAAGGCCAUUAGUUGAAGAACUUUUAUAG